Molecule: long non-coding RNA, 2189 nt
Organism: Cornus florida
Lineage: Eukaryota; Viridiplantae; Streptophyta; Magnoliopsida; Cornales; Cornaceae
Exons: 4
Source: RefSeq, a predicted model, not a curated record
UUUAUACAUGCUCGCUCUUCCCUCCGCGUUACAUAUCUUCUCUCUCGUGCCUCCGUCUAUCCAUCUUCUCUCUCUCUCCGCCAAACCCUAACUUCUCAUCAUCUCUCUAAUCCUCCAUCUCUCCACACCACCUCAUCCCUCCACCGAAGCCACCACUCUACCUCCAUUCCAUCUCCCCAUCUCUCAUCCACCACACUUCACCCGAAACCACAAGCCACCAACACCCCUUCUCUCUGGUCAAGCCGCCGCUGCGUCUUCUCCGGCCAUUUCUCAGGCCGUCUCUGCAUUGUCUUCGGCGAUUCUCUGGCCUAAGUUCUCUAUCUCUCGGAUUCUCAUUGGCCAUUCCUCCGACCGUCGUUCUCAUCUCAGGCCGUAUCUCCGGCAAUCUUCUCCAUCGCGGGCCAAUUUUCAGGCCGUCGCUGCGUUUUCUCCGGCCAUUUCUCAAGCCGUCGCUGGUCACAAUCCCUCUCUCCAUCUUUCUCUGAUAUUCUCACUCGGGCCGUCGCUGCGUUUUCUCCGGCCAUUUCUCAAGCCGUCGCUGGUCACAAUCCCUCUCUCAUCUUUCUCUGAUAUUCUCACUCGGGUGCAAACUUGCAAAGUGCGGAUUGUGCAAGUGUGAUCAGUGGUGAUAUACUGAUAUGUAAUUGAAGGCUAAAGUCACUAAAGUAUUGUGGUGCAGUGCAACUGUACAAGUGCAAGUGUGGGAAUUCAGUAUUCGGUAUUCACAGAAUCACAAUAAAGUGAUAAACCAAUAAGGCUGUGGCUGUGCUGUCUGUGAUCAUAUAUAUAGAUGAUGUGUGUUCUGAAAUUGUGGAGAAGAUGUGACUGUGAUGGGCUGUGAAGUUUGGGUAGUUUUUAUAUGUAUCUAUGUGUGAUGACAUAUGAUUUGUGUUCUGAAAUUGUGAUGGGCUGAGGCAUUGGAGAAGUUUAUAUAUAUAUACAUGUAUUACUUGAACUUUGGAUUCUAAAAUUCUGAAUUUUGGGAUUUGAUUCUUGUUGUCGAUUUAAACUGUUUAGUUCAAAUUUCUAAUGAGACUUUAUCUUCUAAUAGUGGUUUUGAGAGUGUUGCCGUUUGAUUGAGUCAGAAAUAAAUUUUUGAGGGAGGACCAUGAUGAUCCUUUGAUGUUGAGUGUUAAAAAUCUUUGGGAAUUGUUUGGGCAUUGUAGUUGAUAUUUAUGCUUGAGAGUUUGACAUUGAAAAAUAUUCUAAAGUUGCACUCUUGAUUAUUCUAAUGGAAAGCAUGUUCACACAAGUUCAUAUCCAUGUGUUAAGACUUUGAAAUUCUGAAAUUGCAAAAAUGAUGUUUUGAGAUUGUUCAACACAUGAGUUGUGAUGUUCAAUUUGGAUAAGUUGUAUUUGAAAUUCUGUUGUAUUUCAAUUGGAUACUUGGAUGAGUUGGAUAAUUUUGGAAAGGAACUUGAAUGUCAUUAAGCAUGCAAAUAAAUUCUGAAAUUAGAGGAGACACAAUCUUUGAUAUCUAUACGUGUUCUAUGCAUGUAUAUGGUUUCUUUUGGAACUUUUUGACAUGAUUGAUCUUCAAUGCAUAUAUGCUCAUGUGGAUCAUUUGUGAUGCUUAAUUUCUGAAAAUUCUAAGGGCUGAAAUGUUUAGAGGUGUUAUGUAGUUUUCAAAAUUGGAAAUUGGGAUUUGAUAGCUGAAAUGUGAAAUGUGAUUUGAUUUUGUUUCUUCAAGUUUCAAUCAUUUUCAGAAUUUGUCCGAAGUGUCCCUAAUUGAGAUGAACAUGCUCUAAGUGUAUCUUGCUUGAUUUUUGCCAUGUGAGGGCAUUUCAUGUUGUUUGUGAGCGAAUGUGAUGUGAGUUAUGAGUUGUAUUGAAAAUUGAGAUAAGACAAAUGACAAAUUUCUCUAGAGCUAAGUUAUUGCGGAGGAAACAGUUUUGGGAAUUGGGACUAAUUAUCAAAAGUAGUAUACACUGCACACUAUAUACAUGUUUUGUUAAUUAAUUUCCAUGAGAAAGAAAAGGUUGAUAUAUUGUUGAAGGAUGUCCAUGACGUUAAGCUUUCAUUCAUUUAUUUCUUGUGUGAAUUCAAUAAUUUUUGUAGGGAACACUUACAGUAAUAAAUCUCUGUUUUUUUUUUAUGAAAUCAACAAUAAUGAAUGUAUUCAUUUAUACAAAUGUUCAAGUAUAGAAGAUUUUGGUACAUUUAUUUAUUGAUCACCGAAGAUAAUGAAU